Molecule: ribosomal RNA, 222 nt
Filed under: Vibrio sp. s6a6
Lineage: Bacteria; Pseudomonadati; Pseudomonadota; Gammaproteobacteria; Vibrionales; Vibrionaceae
Description: partial 16S ribosomal RNA
Rfam family: Bacterial small subunit ribosomal RNA
Source: RNAcentral
UAAGUAGACCGCCUGGGGAGUACGGUCGCAAGAUUAAAACUCAAAUGAAUUGACGGGGGCCCGCACAAGCGGUGGAGCAUGUGGUUUAAUUCGAUGCAACGCGAAGAACCUUACCUACUCUUGACAUCCAGAGAAGCCAGCGGAGACGCAGGUGUGCCUUCGGGAGCUCUGAGACAGGUGCUGCAUGGCUGUCGUCAGCUCGUGUCGUGAGAUGUUGGGGUU